RNA transcript from Myxocyprinus asiaticus (Chinese sucker), 2420 nucleotides. It is a transcript of the gene named breast cancer metastasis-suppressor 1-like protein-A, with no coding region annotated. The transcript has 10 exons. The record is from RefSeq and is a predicted model, not a curated record. Lineage: Eukaryota; Metazoa; Chordata; Actinopteri; Cypriniformes; Catostomidae.
CCCAGCAAUUAACAUGGUGGCUUUGCUUAAUGAAGCAAUACGUUAAUAUUUUUAUGGUUUAGCAAAAUACUGAAACAGCUUAAGCGAAUUACUAAAGGACAGUCUCUCAAUCUGAUUUUAACAUUUCCUGACUAAAUGGUUUAAACGUUUGUUAGCAUGAUGCAUUAGACGUAUGUGUAUUUUUGUUUAUAGCAUUAACAACAAGCUAACACAUUUUUACGUAGACCUUUAAAUCAACAACAGUUCUUUUAGCGACUCGCAAAGAAAGUAGGUCAACAUAUUUCUCAGUCAUCUUAUUUUCGUAUAAGACAAUAUGCCAGUGCACUCGAGAGAAAAGAAAGAAAUUAAUCAUGAAGAAAUGGAGGUGGAUUUUGCAGAGCAAGAAGGGAGCAGUUCAGAAGACGAGGAUACAGAGAGCUCAUCUGUGUCUGAUGAUGGAGAAUGUUCAGAAAUGGAUGAUGAAAACUGCGAAAGGAGAAGAAUGGAAUGCAUUGAUGAAAUGACCGAUCUGGAAAAGCAGUUCACUGACCUCCAAGACCAGUUAUAUAAAGAGAGACUGAAUCAAGUUGAUGCCAAACUCCAAGAAGUGAUGUCGGGAAAGGCCCCUGAGUACCUGGAGCCUCUCGCAACUCUUCAGGAGAAUAUACAAAUUAGAACAAAAGUUGCAGGUAUCUACAGAGAGUUGUGCCUGGACUCUGUGAAGAAUAAAUAUGACUGUGAAACUCAAGCAGCUUUCCAGCACUGGGAGAGUGAGAAGCUGUUAUUAUCUGAUACAGUUCAAAGUGAAUUAGAGGAGAAGAUCAGACGUUUAGAGGAAGACCGUCAUAGUAUAGAUAUUACAUCAGAGCUCUGGAAUGAUGAGUUACAAUCAAGAAAAAACAAAAAGAAAGAUCCCUUCAGUCCAGACAAAAAGAAAAAGCCUGUGGCUGUGUCAGGCCCGUAUAUUGUUUACAUGCUGCAAGACCUGGAUAUACUGGAGGACUGGACUGCUAUCAGAAAGGCCAUGGCAACAUUAGGACCUCACAGAGUAAAGACAUGUCUCCUUUUCAAAGAGUGACAAACAUCAGCACAAUGCCCACUCAGAAGAUGGACGCGUUUUUUACGAUGGGGAAUGGUACAGCCGCGGGCAAGCCAUAUGUAUCGAAAAGAAAGAUGAGUAUCCUACGAGCGCUAUAAUAACUACAAUCAAUCACCAUGAAGUGUGGUUCAAACGAGUCGAUGGGAGCAAGUCAAAACUUUACAUCUCGCAUCUUCAGAAAGGCAAAUACACCAUAAAACAUGCCUGAUCUUCAUGAGACCUUUUAAGUGUGCCAGUUGGGAAUGUCUAAAGGGAUAGUUCACCCAAAAAUGAAAAUUCUGUCUUAAUUUACUCACCCUCAUGUUGUUCCAAAUUCAUAUGACUUUCUUCUGUGGAACACGAAAAUGAGAUGUUAGGCAGAAUGUUACCCUCAUAUUUCUGUUUUCAAUAUCUCCUUUUGUGUUCCACAGAAGAAAGGAUUAUGUGUUUGGAACAGCAAGAGGGUGGUGAGUAAAUGAUGAUGGAAUCUUUAUUUUUAGGCAAAUUAUGCCUUUAACAGUAUCUUUUUGUGUACAGUUUAUCAUGUUUAAAUACCUUUUUUAUGUUUAAAAACAGAUCUGUUGGUGUAUUGUCUGUCUGUAUGAGGAAAACAGAGUUAAUGUUCUUUUUACUAUAAAUUCAAUGCAGUGCCGUUUGUAUUAUUAUUUCUAUGAACAAGGUCAAAAAUGUAAUAUAAUUACAGGCUUGUUGACUGCCAUGAGGUGUGGUCCUUUUGUAUUUUGACUGUGGGGUUCAGUUUCCAGUCAAAUUCUACUUGUUAAAACAAAGAUAAAUUUUUUUGUGCUUUUUCAGUUAAUGGACUUAACUUGCUGAAUUCAAAUGGAGUGUUUUCCUACUUUUUUUAAAUUUAUUUUGUUUAACAUGUCUGCCUCAACACAGUUACAAUACAAAUUACAUUUUGCAACGUUGCAGAUGCCAUGUUAAGUGGCUUUCUUUGAGAGUACAAUUAAAUGGUCUUAUUUUUGCAUCAUUUUAUAAUGAAAUACAGAUGGGCGAUGCAUUUUAGGAGUAUAAGAAGUAAACAUGACAUUAUCACAACUUCCUAGAGUCUUAAAGAUGUGAUCUUGCUGCUCUAUUUACAGUCUGAACAAGCCAUAAAUGUGGUAAAUAAUUUAUAUUCAUUAUAGUGUGCAUUUCAGUUCUGGUAAAAGUCAUUGGUUCAGUGUUCUUAUCAUUUGUGGUUACAGCACCACCUUCUGUUUUACUUCUGUACUGUGCCCAUUGUUUUUAUUUUUCUGAAUUUUCCACAUUAUUAAUAAUUCUGUGCUGAAUGUAUUUGUAUUUUUUGUGUUUUCUUAUUAAAUUAUAUUGAACAAACUUUAAAAUGCAAUAUUUCAAUAUU